CCUACGGGAGUCUGCAGUGGGGGAUAUUGCACAAUGGGGGGAACCCUGAUGCAGCGACGCCGCGUGGGUGAAGAAGCGCCUCGGCGCGUAAAGCCCUGUCAGCAGGGAAGAAAAUGACGGUACCUGAAGAAGAAGCCCCGGCUAACUCCGUGCCAGCCGCCGCGGUAAUACGUAGGGGGCAAGCGUUAUCCGGAUUUACUGGGUGGAAAGGGGGCGCAGACGGCGAUGCAAGCCAGGAGUGAAAGCCCGGGGCCCAACCCCGGGACUGCUCUUGGAACUGCGUGGCUGGAGUGCAGGAGGGGCAGGCGGAAUUCCUGGUGUAGCGGUGAAAUGCGUAGAUAUCAGGAGGAACACCGGUGGCGAAGGCGGCCUGCUGGACUGCAACUGACAUUGAUGCUCGAAAGUGUGGGUAUCAAACAGGAUUAGAUACCCGAGUAGUC
Molecule: ribosomal RNA, 440 nt
Filed under: uncultured bacterium
Lineage: Bacteria
Description: partial 16S ribosomal RNA
Rfam family: Bacterial small subunit ribosomal RNA
Source: RNAcentral